GAUGAACGCUGGCGGCGUGCCUAAUACAUGCAAGUCGAGCGGUAAGGCCUCUUCGGAGGUACACGAGCGGCGGACGGCUGAGUAACGCGUAGGAACGUACCCCAAAGUGAGGGAUAAGCACCAGAAAUGGUGUCUAAUACCGCAUGUGAUCUAAGGAUUAAAGCUUCGGCGCUUUGGGAACGGCCUGCGUUCGAUUAGCUAGUUGGUGAGGUAAAAGCUUACCAAGGCGACGAUCGAUAGCUGGUCUGAGAGGAUGAUCAGCCAGACUGGGACUGAGACACGGCCCAGACUCCUACGGGAGGCAGCAGUAGGGAAUUUUCCACAAUGGGCGAAAGCCUGAUGGAGCAACGCCGCGUGCAGGAUGAAUGCCUUCGGGUUGUAAACUGCUUUUAUAUGUGACGAUUAUGACGGUAGCAUAUGAAUAAGGAUCGGCUAACUCCGUGCCAGCCGCCGCAGUAA
This 459-nucleotide ribosomal RNA is filed under the name uncultured bacterium. RNAcentral's name for it is "partial 16S ribosomal RNA". It matches the Rfam family "Bacterial small subunit ribosomal RNA", at positions 28 to 523 of the family's 1533-position model. The record is from RNAcentral.